AAGCUGUUCGAUUAGUGGUAAAUCCUGUACCUUACACGUACAAGCCGAUGGUUCGAAUCCAUCACAGCUUA
Molecule: transfer RNA, 71 nt
Filed under: Insectozyma corydali
Lineage: Eukaryota; Fungi; Ascomycota; Pichiomycetes; Serinales; Debaryomycetaceae
Also listed under: 1 other name
Description: Candida corydali tRNA-Val
Rfam family: tRNA
About the family: Transfer RNA (tRNA) molecules are approximately 80 nucleotides in length. Their secondary structure includes four short double-helical elements and three loops (D, anti-codon, and T loops).
Source: RNAcentral